RNAcentral lists this ribosomal RNA (1428 nucleotides) under Triticum aestivum (bread wheat). RNAcentral describes it as "partial small subunit ribosomal RNA". Lineage: Eukaryota; Viridiplantae; Streptophyta; Magnoliopsida; Poales; Poaceae. The record is from RNAcentral.
AUGAAGAGAUAUUUUUCAUCCGUGGCCGCAACAGAAGUGCCUACACCCGGAGUUUUAGCAGGGAAUCAAGGGGCCGAGAGGACUGAAGCAAGUCCAGAAAAUGAAACAGCUGCAGAAAUGGGACCACCACCUUCAAUCUCAACUCGAGAAAGCAACGUUUUUGUUAUUCCUGAUUCUGCUCGUGGUCAACUAAGGGAAGGUGAUAUUGAACCUGAUCCUGGUCGUAGGAAACCUAUUGAAAGCUUAGAUCCGGAUAUUAGAGAUGUUGCUAGAAGGAUGUAUGUAAAUAUGGGUCCAUGCCAACCAAGUGGUCAUAAAUUUAAAAAAGAAACUAGAGGAAAUUCUUUGAAAAAGAGAUCCUUUCAAGCUAAAUGGUUCGGGAAGCAUUCUGAUUGGUUGGAAUAUAGUGUUGCUAAGGAGGCAGCCUUUUGUUUCUAUUGCUUUCUUUUUAAGCAACCUAGAGCAGAAAACUAUGGUGUUGAGGCAUUCACAACAGUAGGGUUUAAAAAUUGGAAGGAUGGACUUAGUAUUAUUGAUACACAUGUUGGUAAACAUGAUAGUGCUCACAAUAAAGCUAGACAACAAUAUGUGGCUUUCAAAAAUCAAAGUCAAUCUCUUGUAAAUGUGAUGGAUCGUGGCACCAUAAAGACCCAAGAAGAAUAUAAAGCUCGUCUUAUCAUUAUUUUGGGUGUUAUAAGAUUUCUUCUAUUACAAGCUCUUGCUUUUCGUGGUCAUGAUGAGAGCUCCAGUUCAAAGAAUAGGGGAAAUUUUUUGGAGAUGAUGAGUUGGUACAGGGAGAAGGAUCCGAAUGCUAAGACUUUGCUUGAUAGUGCGGGCGGGAACCAUUUGAUGACUUCACAUGGGAUACAAUUGCAGUCGUGUCAAGCUUGUGCUGAAGAGACCACCAAAGCAAUUAUUGAUGAUAUUGGAGAUAGAAAUUUUUCUUUACUUGUUGAUGAGUCUAGAGAUGCAUCAAUAAAGGAGCAAAUGGCUAUGGUUUUAAGGUAUGUUGAUAAACAUGGGUAUGCGAUUGAGAGGUUCAUUGGGAUUAAGCAUGUUGGUGACACAAGAGCGGCUUCUCUAAAAGCAGCUUUGGAUGGUAUGUUUCUUAAACAUGGCUUGUCUAUGUCUAAAUUGAGAGGGCAAGGGUACGAUGGAGCUUCUAACAUGAGAGGACAAUUUCGUGGGUUGCAAAGGUUGAUACUAGAUGAAAAUCCUUAUGCAUUUUAUAUUCAUUGCUUUGCCCAUCAGUUGCAGUUAGUGGUUGUUGCUGUUGCCAAGUGUUGUUCCUCUGUAUUGGAUUUCUUUAACCACAUAACUUUGAUUGUCAACACUGUCAAUGCUUCUUGUAAGAGACAUGAUGAACUAGCCCAAGAACAACAUGAUAAUAUUGUGAGUCAACUGGAGUCCGGGGAAAUAUUUUCAUGA